GAUGAACGCUGGCGGCGUGCCUAAUACAUGCAAGUCGAGCGAACGGACGAGAAGCUUGCUUCUCUGAUGUUAGCGGCGGACGGGUGAGUAACACGUGGAUAACCUACCUAUAAGACUGGGAUAACUUCGGGAAACCGGAGCUAAUACCGGAUGAUAUUUUGAACCGCAUGGUUCAAAAGUGAAAGACGGUCUUGCUGUCACUUAUAGAUGGAUCCGCGCUGCAUUAGCUAGUUGGUAAGGUAACGGCUUACCAAGGCAACGAUGCAUAGCCGACCUGAGAGGGUGAUCGGCCCCCCUGGAACUGAGACCCGGUCCAGACUCCUACGGGAGGCAGCCGUAGGGAAUCUUCCGCAAUGGGCGAAAGCCUGACGGAGCAACGCCGCGUGAGUGAUGAAGGUCUUCGGAUCGUAAAACUCUGUUAUUAGGGAAGAACAUAUGUGUAAGUAACUGUGCACAUCUUGACGGUACCUAAUCAGAAAGCCACGGCUAACUACGUG
This 497-nucleotide ribosomal RNA is filed under the name uncultured bacterium. RNAcentral describes it as "partial 16S ribosomal RNA". It matches the Rfam family "Bacterial small subunit ribosomal RNA", at positions 28 to 507 of the family's 1533-position model. The record is from RNAcentral.